CAAAAGAUCUGGAAUUUACUACAUUUUUGACACUUUAGUUCUUGUCUCCAGCAAAUAUAAACACUCAUGAUAUAAUGCAUAGUGUAACUUAACACAUUAUAAUUGUAAUUGAUCAGCUUAACAAAUGUUUAAAAGUGGAAAAAAAAUAUUAAACAACAGAUACUCAACUAUUUACUAAGAAAUUAGCUUAGUGUCUCUGCAUCUAGCAUGUUAACAUUUAAAACGACACGUUUUAAAAACAUGCACUUUGAUUGGUCAAAAAUGUUAGCAAAUCUAUGAAUAAAUAAAUUCAGAAUUAAAUUUAUGAAAUUUUUUUGUUAGAAUGUUUGAGGCAAACAGAAGAUGCAUGGAAUCCCCCCUGAACAUGGAGACAGUACAGUUACAUGCAUUAUCAAAGCUGGAUUAUUAGGUGCUACAUUUAAACUCAACCAUAAAUAUUUGCUUAUUUUUAAGGUAUACAGAGAUCCCUUGAAGAAAUAAAGAACAGCUUUUAAUUAGAGAAUUAUCUUUUAAUACAGUUACAAAGCUGUCAAACCAUGAUGAGUAAAAAAGAUGCAAGGAAAUUUGUUUACAGCCUUCCAGAUUCAGCAAAUAAUGCUAGAGAAUGAGUUAAUGCAAGACCUAAUGAUGGAAAUGUACCAGGUUCCAUGGCUAGGAGAAUGUCAGAAAGCCUCAUCAUUAGUGUG
Molecule: long non-coding RNA, 686 nt
Organism: Saccostrea echinata
Lineage: Eukaryota; Metazoa; Mollusca; Bivalvia; Ostreida; Ostreidae
Exons: 3
Source: RefSeq, a predicted model, not a curated record